Molecule: ribosomal RNA, 631 nt
Filed under: uncultured bacterium
Lineage: Bacteria
Description: bacterial SSU rRNA
Rfam family: Bacterial small subunit ribosomal RNA
Source: RNAcentral
GUCGAACGGGAUCCACGCCAUGAAGUUUUCGGGUGGAUUGGUGUGGUGAGAGUGGCGAACGGGCGAGUAACGCGUGAGCAACCUACCUCGUACUGGGGGAUAACGUCGGGAAACCGGCGCUAAUACCGCAUAAGACUACGAUGUCGCAUGGCAAUGUAGUCAAAGCUCCGGCGGUACGAGACGGGCUCGCGUCCGAUUAGCUAGUUGGUAGGGUAACGGCCUACCAAGGCGACGAUCGGUAGCCGGACUGAGAGGUCGGCCGGCCGCAUUGGGACUGAGACACGGCCCAGACUCCUACGGGAGGCAGCAGUGGGGAAUAUUGCGCAAUGGGGGAAACCCUGACGCAGCGACGCCGCGUGAAGGAAGAAGGCCUUCGGGUUGUAAACUUCUUUGAUCGGGGACGAAGGAAGACGGUACCCGAGGAACAAGCCACGGCUAACUACGUGCCAGCAGCCGCGGUAAUACGUAGGUGGCGAGCGUUGUCCGGAAUUACUGGGCGUAAAGGGCGUGUAGGCGGGGGGACAAGUCAGAUGUGAAAUACCGCAGCUUAACUGCGGGGCUGCAUCUGAAACUGUUCUUCUUGAGUGUCGGAGAGGAAAGUGGAAUUCCCAGUGUAGCGGUGAAAUGCGUA